UGCUCUUGUAUGUUUACAGCUUUCUAAUUCCUUCAUGGCUGUUUAGUGGAGCCUGAAGGGUGGGGCCUCGUGUGGCCCGUCUGCCCUCCUUCAGGCUGUGCCGCACUGGUGCGUUUGGUGUGUGCUUGGUGAGAGUCUUUGGGUCCUGCUCGGAGGAGGCAGGAGCGUGAACGGCGCUCCCAGGGCCAACCAACGGUCUGUGGUCAUCAGCAGGCCUGGAGCUGCCUGUGCAGGGUGGAGGGGGCUGUUCUGGUCUUGGCCUCACCUCCUCUGCCACAGCUGCAAGUUUAAGUGCCUAACCCAUCAGGGUCAAACCCAGGGGAGUGCUUCCGCUGGCAAGAAGGCCCACACAGAGAGGCGAGCCCUGACUUCCGCUGUGCGCCCAGCACUGUGACCCAGAAGGCCGGCCCCAGCGUUGGUCCUCGCGGGACGCUUGUGUGGACCCCGGUGAGGAGCAAAGGUGAACAUGCUUGUCGUGGUGCAGCACACAGUGACCUGCGGCUGAUUCCAGCUUCAGCUUGUUCUCUGUAGACCAGAAAAAGGCAGCUGUGAGCAGCGUGCGGGGAGAAUGGUCCCAGGGGCUCGGCCUCCCACCUGCCUGUCUCAGGACCCCAGGGCGCUCCGGACCCCAGGUUCUACUGAUGAAUUCAUUUAACUUUGACCUGGGAAGAAAAGUCAUAAAUUCACAUCCAUGAACAGGAGGAGAAGAAGGGGAACUGCUAUAGAGACUGCACAGUGAUGACCCCUGCAUGCAUUUUUCAGUCAACAAGAGCAUCUCGUGACUUCUGUGUUGGUGGGACCUACGUAUAGGAUAAGACAGUGCUCCUGAGAUCAUGCUAUGUUGUGUAUAAAGGGAUUCCGCAGAUGUAGUCGGGGCCCCAGGUUCAAGUGGCCCGUAGCAACUUAGAGUGAUCUUUCAACAG
Molecule: long non-coding RNA, 923 nt
Filed under: Homo sapiens (human)
Lineage: Eukaryota; Metazoa; Chordata; Mammalia; Primates; Hominidae
Description: HSALNT0026135
Source: RNAcentral